AUGGUCAACCCCAAUGUGCUCUUCGACAUGGCCAUCGACGGCGAGCCCUUGGGCCGCGUCUCCUUCGAGCUGUUUGCAGACAAAGUUCCAAAGACAGCAGAAAACUUUCGUGCUCUGAACACUGGAGAGAAAGGAUUUGGUUAUAACGGUUCCUGCUUUCACAGAAUUAUUCCAGGGUUUAUGUGCCAGGGUGGUGACUUUACACACCAUAAUGGCACUGGCGGCAAGUCCAUCUAUGGGGAGAAAUUUGAUGAUGAGAACUUCAUCUUGAAGCAUCUUGAAGCCCGGCAUCUUGUCCAUGGCAAAUGCUGGACCCAACACAAACGGUUCCCAGUUUUUCAUCUGCACUAAGACUGAAUGGUUGGAUGGCAAGCAUGUGGUUUUUGGCAAGGUGAAAGAGGUCAUGAAUGUUGUACAAGCCAUGGAGGGCUUUGGGUCCAAGAAUGGCAAGACCAGCAAGAAGAUCACCAUUGCUGACGGUGUACAACUCUAA
Molecule: RNA transcript, 493 nt
Organism: Carlito syrichta (Philippine tarsier)
Lineage: Eukaryota; Metazoa; Chordata; Mammalia; Primates; Tarsiidae
Gene name: peptidyl-prolyl cis-trans isomerase A-like
Exons: 1
Source: RefSeq, a predicted model, not a curated record